CAUGACUUAUUAGAAAUUUAAAUCCAAUUAUCCUAAACAUCCUUAAUAUACAUUUAAUCCAUCCUAAAUUUUUUAUAGAUCUAAUUAACUUGAAAUAUACUCACUUAAAAACGACUUACAUGACUAGUACUGUUGUGUAGGUCGUCUUUUUGUGUAGUUUUUCUAAUAGAAAA
This 173-nucleotide small RNA is filed under the name Staphylococcus aureus. RNAcentral describes it as "HMPRNC0000_2312". Lineage: Bacteria; Bacillati; Bacillota; Bacilli; Caryophanales; Staphylococcaceae. The record is from RNAcentral.